Molecule: long non-coding RNA, 658 nt
Organism: Neopsephotus bourkii (Bourke's parrot)
Lineage: Eukaryota; Metazoa; Chordata; Aves; Psittaciformes; Psittacidae
Exons: 3
Source: RefSeq, a predicted model, not a curated record
ACACAGGCUCAGGACAAGGGGUUGUAAAUAGGAAGGAACAGACUGACAUGUUACAGAGGAAAGUACAAGUAGUGUAGGAUUGGACUCAUCAGCAGAUGGGGAAUGCUGCCAUUCUUUCUUUAUUUCUGGCAAGGACCUCCGUGGCUGACAGACUCCUGCUACGAUGGAAAGGGAUGGUUCAAUGAGGUUUAGGGAAGAACUAAUAAUAUGUAAUUUACUUCUGUCACACUUGGAAUAUGAGCCCAUAACUGGAGGUCAUUUUGGGAUUAAUUGGAGCUAAUAUCUUUACUUCAAAGCAGCACAAGAUCAAGCCAAACGUACAUGCAUAGCAAUUAAAUAUUUGGCAAGGUAAUACGGAUUGGCUUCUACAGCAGCAGCUCUAUCCCUGUGCUGUUUCACUUGUUCAGGUCUUUGAUGUGCUUCAGAGCACAACUAGCUGGGCCUGUGUUUUAAACAAAGGAGCAUUUUAGCACUGUAUUCUGCAGAGACUGGCUGUUGGGCUAUAGUUAAUAUAUAAACUGUAAAACUGGAAGAUUAUGAAUCGGUAGUAUGACUGGCUACUGAUAAUUCUGUAGGUAAUGAAGAAAUUGCAGGGGGCAAAUGAAAAGAUUUCUCUUUUAUAUUGUAUAGUAUCAAUAUUCCUUUAGUGCUAACAAAG